Molecule: long non-coding RNA, 487 nt
Organism: Perca fluviatilis (European perch)
Lineage: Eukaryota; Metazoa; Chordata; Actinopteri; Perciformes; Percidae
Exons: 2
Source: RefSeq, a predicted model, not a curated record
CCAUAUUGGUUGCUAAAGGAGACAAACUAAACCCACAAGUCCUUCCAUUUUUUUCUUGAACCCUAUUACCCUUUCUGACCCCUUUAAUCCCAUCCAAAACCUCCCUUCCCCCAAUCAUGUAUUUGCUAGGUUGCAAGGAACAAGCACGAGAGGCCACAAGAAGCGACAACUCAAACACUCAGGCUUGUCUCAGAUAACCCAGAUUAUCCCGUCUCGACUUUCAGGCGCAUGCAUCAGGAGGCUGAUUUCCAGGGAAAUAUGAUGGGUUGAACAUGUGACACUGAUUCUUGGAAAGUAUCGUAAAGUUUCACCACACCACAGAUCGCCUGGAGAGUGGAAAUCACACACAACUCCAGCCAUACCUCAGUCCUGCCCCACGCUCUUCAGGAGACAUCUCAGGUAACUUCAGGUACCUUCAGAAGAUUUGACAAUGCAGCCAAAUGCUGGAUAGUCAAGAUAGAGACAGAUAGAAUUUGUCUUUGCAGUA